ACCCCUGUCCAAAGAACAACUACUCAGCAGAUAUGACGAUGUAUUCAACAGGCCCGUUGAAUCAGUGCCUGGGGAGGUACACUUUGAAUUGGAUGAGAGCAUCAGUCCAGUGUGCUCCUCGCAAUGUGCCCAUUGCAAUGUGAAGGCCCAGCUGGACAAGGCGCAGAUGGCCACAUGACAUCUGUGACUAAACCAACUGACUGGAUCAGCAAUAUGGUCAUAGUGAAAAAAACAGAGAAGCUGAGGGUCUGCAUCGACCCAAAGCAUCUGAACCAAGCACUGAAACGAUCCCACUACAUCAUGCCGACACUAGAGGAUGUCCUCUAUAAGCUUCCAAAGGCCAGGAUUUUCACCUUGGUGGAUGCCCGAGAUGCAUUCCUUCAAUGCAAGCUGGACGAAGAAAGCAGCUUCAUGACUACCUUCUGGACCCCUGGGGUGGGAAACGCUGGCUCAAGCUCCCGUUUGGUGUCUCAGUGGCGCCUGAGGUAUACCAACGCAAGCAGCACGAGUUACUGGCUGGGCUCAAGGGCAUUGAACCCAUAGCCGGUGAUGUCCUGAUCGUAGGCUGUGGUGACACAGACGAAGAAGCAGAACGUAUUCAUGAUGUGAAGCUCCUGGCACUGAUGGAGCGCUGCCGAUCAGUUAAGCUUGGCCUUGGCCAGAAGAAGCUGCAGUUCAAGGUGAAAGAUGUCCACUUCCAUGGUCGCAUUCUCUCGGCCAAAUGCCCGAAGCCGGACCUAGACAAAGACAGAGUGAUCCUCGACAAGCCAAACCCGUCUGAUGCAAAAGGAGUACAGCUUCUCAUCGGCUUUGCAAACUAUCUUGCAAAGUUCAUGCCACACCUAUCAACAGUCUGUGAGCCUCUGAGCCGGUUGCUGGACAAAGACAAGUAUUUCAAGUAUUUUUUACUUAAGUACUUUACACCACUGACAAUGACUCACCAUAUUCCAGAAGCACAAUCAACACCUCUAGUCAGGUGUUGAAAACUAGUAUGAGCUAUACACUAUGGUGCAAUGCAUCAGAUUAUUGUUUAUUAAAUGUGUUAAUGUGUUUGUACCUGUCCCUAUUCAAAUAAACCAGAAAAUACCACAUUCACCAUUAUAAAGCAGUUAAGUUCUGCCACGGUUUGAGGAAAGAAAGAUAGUUGGUGAAAUCCCAUGUCUAGAGAAUCCUGUAGUAGUCUAUCAGUUUUUCUGUGAUGAAAAUAAAUCUGUUAUUGAACGUU
Molecule: non-coding RNA, 1225 nt
Organism: Oncorhynchus mykiss (rainbow trout)
Lineage: Eukaryota; Metazoa; Chordata; Actinopteri; Salmoniformes; Salmonidae
Source: RefSeq, a predicted model, not a curated record